CGCGUAGGUGGCUUAUCAAGUUAGAUGUGAAAUUUCAGGGCUUAACCUUGGAGCUGCAUCUAAAACUGGUAAGCUAGAGUUCAGUAGAGGGUAGUGGAAUUUCCAGUGUAGCGGUGAAAUGCGUAGAUAUUGGAAGGAACAUCAGUGGCGAAGGCGACUAUCUGGACUGAAACUGACACUGAGGCGCGAAAGCGUGGGGAGCGAACA
RNAcentral lists this ribosomal RNA (207 nucleotides) under uncultured bacterium. Its description in RNAcentral is "partial 16S ribosomal RNA". It matches the Rfam family "Bacterial small subunit ribosomal RNA", at positions 568 to 774 of the family's 1533-position model. The record is from RNAcentral.